GAUGAACGCUGGCGGCGUGCCUAAUACAUGCAAGUAGAACGCUGAAGGAGGAGCUUGCUCUUCUGGAUGAGUUGCGAACGGGUGAGUAACGCGUAGGUAACCUGCCUGGUAGCGGGGGAUAACUAUUGGUAACGAUAGCUAAUACCGCAUGACAACAGUUAUUGCAUGAUAACUGUUUAAAAGGGGCAACUGCUCCACUACCAGAUGGACCUGCGUUGUAUUAGCUAGUUGGUGAGGUAACGGCUCACCAAGGCGACGAUCCAUAGCCGACCUGAGAGGGUGAGCGGCCACACUGGGACUGAGACACGGCCCAGACUCCUACGGGAGGCAGCAGUAGGGAAUCUUCGGCAAUGGACGGAAGUCUGACCGAGCAACGCCGCGUGAGUGAAGAAGGGUUUCGGAUCGUAAAGCUCUGUUGUAAGAGAAGAACGAGUGUGAGAGUGGAAAGUUCACACUGUGACGGUAUCUUACCAGAAAGGGACGGCUAACUACGUG
Molecule: ribosomal RNA, 495 nt
Filed under: uncultured bacterium
Lineage: Bacteria
Description: partial 16S ribosomal RNA
Rfam family: Bacterial small subunit ribosomal RNA
Source: RNAcentral